UACGAAGGGGGCGAGCGUUGUUCGGAUUUACUGGGCGUAAAGGGCGCGCAGGCGGCUCAUUUUGUCAGGCGUGAAAGCCCCGGGCUUAACCUGGGAGGUGCGUUUGAUACGGAUGGGCUAGAGUUCGGGAGAGGAGAGUGGAAUUCCCAGUGUAGAGGUGAAAUUCGUAGAUAUUGGGAAGAACACCGGUGGCGAAGGCGGCUCUCUGGACCGAGACUGACGCUGAGGCGCGAAAGCGUGGGGAGCAAACAGGG
Molecule: ribosomal RNA, 254 nt
Filed under: uncultured bacterium
Lineage: Bacteria
Description: partial 16S ribosomal RNA
Rfam family: Bacterial small subunit ribosomal RNA
Source: RNAcentral